This 254-nucleotide ribosomal RNA is filed under the name uncultured bacterium. RNAcentral describes it as "partial 16S ribosomal RNA". It matches the Rfam family "Bacterial small subunit ribosomal RNA", at positions 524 to 776 of the family's 1533-position model. The record is from RNAcentral.
CACGUAGGGUGCGAGCGUUGUCCGGAAUUAUUGGGCGUAAAGAGCUCGUAGGCGGUGUGUCGCGUCGGCCGUGAAAACCUGCAGCUUAACUGUGGGCUUGCGGUCGAUACGGGCAUCACUGGAGUUCGGCAGGGGAGACUGGAAUUCCUGGUGUAGCGGUGAAAUGCGUAGAUAUCUGGAGGAACACCGGUGGCGAAGGCGACGUCCUGGACCGGCAUUGACGCUGAGGCGCGAAAGCCAGGGGAGCAAACGGG